Molecule: ribosomal RNA, 252 nt
Filed under: uncultured bacterium
Lineage: Bacteria
Description: partial 16S ribosomal RNA
Rfam family: Bacterial small subunit ribosomal RNA
Source: RNAcentral
UACGUAGGGUGCAAGCGUGUCCGGAAUUAUUGGGCGUAAAGAGCUCGUAGGCGGUCUGUCGCGUCGGAUGUGAAAACCCAGGGCUCAACCCUGGGCCUGCAUUCGAUACGGGCAGACUAGAGUUCGGUAGGGGAGACUGGAAUUCCUGGUGUAGCGGUGAAAUGCGCAGAUAUCAGGAGGAACACCGGUGGCGAAGGCGGGUCUCUGGGCCGAAACUGACGCUGAGGUGCGAAAGCGUGGGGAGCAAACAGG